UACCAGCACCCCGAGUGGUCGGGACGUUUAUUGGGCCUAAAGCAUCCGUAGCCGGUUCUACAAGUCUUCCGUUAAAUCCACCUGCUUAACAGAUGGGCUGCGGAAGAUACUAUGGAGCUAGGAGGCGGGAGAGGCAAGCGGUACUCGAUGGGUAGGGGUAAAAUCCGUUGAUCCAUUGAAGACCACCAGUGGCGAAGGCGGCUUGCCAGAACGCGCUCGACGGUGAGGGAUGAAAGCUAGGGGAGCAAACGGG
This 253-nucleotide ribosomal RNA is filed under the name uncultured bacterium. Its description in RNAcentral is "partial 16S ribosomal RNA". It matches the Rfam family "Archaeal small subunit ribosomal RNA", at positions 474 to 727 of the family's 1478-position model. The record is from RNAcentral.